AACGCAUAUGGCACCUCUUGGUUCUUACCAGGAGGUAUGCCUGUUUGAGAAUCAUUCAUCCCUUUGAUCAUUCAUCAUCCACUUGUGAUCCAUGUUGGUGGUGGUGGUCGAGACAUGGACCUUCACCAGUGAUCGUCUUGAAUGCAUGCACGGGUUGUUCGUGAGAGAGAAGGAUAGUGCAUUCUGUCUGUCGAUCGACCAAUCACGUCCACUUGUUCAAUGAUCUCAAAUCAGGCAAGACUACCCGCUGAACUUAA
This 257-nucleotide unclassified non-coding RNA is filed under the name uncultured fungus. Its description in RNAcentral is "partial contains 5.8S ribosomal RNA, internal transcribed spacer 2, and large subunit ribosomal RNA". Lineage: Eukaryota; Fungi. The record is from RNAcentral.